Long non-coding RNA from Cyprinus carpio carpio, 942 nucleotides. Lineage: Eukaryota; Metazoa; Chordata; Actinopteri; Cypriniformes; Cyprinidae. The record is from Ensembl.
ACUCCUCCUAGAGAUUUAUUCAGAUCAACACCAAACUUUGUCUGCCUAAUCUAAAGGCCUUUGCGAUGUUAAAUUGCGAAGAUCUUGAGGUUUCGUUUAAGGGCGUGUCUGUGGCGGCCUUACAAAUUUCGAUGUUUCGCCAUGAGAAAGGAAGUUGCUAUAACUCAGACAUACAAUGUCCAAUCUGCCCCAAACUUCACAUGUUUGAGAAGACUCCUGACCUGAAUAUAUCUACAUGCCAAUAUUCAGAUAUCGCUAUAGCGCAACAGGAAGUGACAUGUUUUACGCCGUAACAAACUACUCCUAGAAAUUUUAUGACAUUUUAUAAUUUUUUUUUUUGGUCAGUCUAAUCUAAAGGCCUUUGCGAUGUUAAAUUGUGAACAUCUUGAGGUUUCAUUAAAGGGUGUGGCCAUGGCGCCGUGACAAAGUUCGAUGUCUCGCCAUGGGAAUAGAAGUUGUUGUAACUCAGGCAUAAGAUGUCCGAUCUUCCCCAAACUUCACAUGUUCGAAAAGAGUCUUGGCCUGAACACAUCUGAAGGUCAUUAUUCCACUAUAAUCAUAGCGCCACCUGCUGACAACAGAAAAUGGCUUGUUUUACACUAACUUAAACAUGCAAUGUCCAAUCUGCACCAAACUUCAAAUAUUUGAUAAGAGUCAUGGCCUGAAGAUAUCUAAAGGCCAAUGUUCAGUUAUAAUCAUAGCGCCACCUGUUGGCAAUAGGACACAACAUGCUUUAUACUAACUCAAACAUUCCAUGUUCAAUCUGCACUAAAUUUCAUAUGCUUGAUAAAAGUGCUGGACUGAAGAAAUCUACAUGACAAAAUCCAGUUAUAGUCAUAGCGCCACCAGCUGGCAGCAGGAAGAUUGGCACAUAUAAAUGACUUUGACAUAUUUCCUCUUAUAUUUACCACAUUAAACGCAUAUUUCUCGCCGUUCGCUGUU